AUUGAACGCUGGCGGCAGGCCUAACACAUGCAAGUCGAGCGGAUGAAGGGAGCUUGCUCCUGGAUUCAGCGGCGGACGGGUGAGUAAUGCCUAGGAAUCUGCCUGGUAGUGGGGGAUAACGUCCGGAAACGGGCGCUAAUACCGCAUACGUCCUGAGGGAGAAAGUGGGGGAUCUUCGGACCUCACGCUAUCAGAUGAGCCUAGGUCGGAUUAGCUAGUUGGUGGGGUAAAGGCCUACCAAGGCGACGAUCCGUAACUGGUCUGAGAGGAUGAUCAGUCACACUAGAACUGAGACACGGUCCAGACUCCUACGGGAGGCAGCAGUGGGGAAUAUUGGACAAUGGGCGAAAGCCUGAUCCAGCCAUGCCGCGUGUGUGAAGAAGGUCUUCGGAUUGUAAAGCACUUUAAGUUGGGAGGAAGGGCAGUAAGUUAAUACCUUGCUGUUUUGACGUUACCAACAGAAUAAGCACCGGCUAACCUCGUG
RNAcentral lists this ribosomal RNA (484 nucleotides) under uncultured bacterium. RNAcentral's name for it is "partial 16S ribosomal RNA". It matches the Rfam family "Bacterial small subunit ribosomal RNA", at positions 30 to 507 of the family's 1533-position model. The record is from RNAcentral.